Molecule: long non-coding RNA, 239 nt
Organism: Daphnia pulex (common water flea)
Lineage: Eukaryota; Metazoa; Arthropoda; Branchiopoda; Diplostraca; Daphniidae
Exons: 2
Source: RefSeq, a predicted model, not a curated record
GGCACGCCGGGAACGGGUGGAACUCCGGGAAGCCCAGGAUCGCCAGGAUCACCUGGUUCUUCAGGGACGCCCGGUAUUCCUGGAGAACCUGGAGAACCUGGAGAAGGAGGUGUUCCUGGAGUGCCUGGAAUCCCAGGAAUUCCUGCAGGUCGAUAGUAUAUUUCUAAAUGACAUCAUUUCAUUUGCAUCACAGUUCAAUCAGCAACAGACGAAUACAAAGAAAAAGAUUUUUUUUUCGA